UUGUAGGGAAAGUGUUAUGAGUUGCUAUGAGAGUUAUUCAUCAUAAGAAGGUGAUGAAUACAAGCUCUCUCGAAGGAGUAAUGGUGCUAGAAUGUGAUCGAUCUGAUUGUUUAGUGAAUAAGGCAAAUAUGAAUUUCUCUUUAGUUAGAUAUUCUGAGGAGCUCCUCUGCACAUAUAUAAGGACUGCUGAGAGAGUUUUAAACUGUGGCCUGUUGUCUAUUCUUUUGAUCUGUCUACUCUGUCCGUCUGUUAGAAGUGAGAGCCAAGCAUCAGAAGAAAAAACAGAUGUUUGUAAAUUUCAAAAGGCAUUCGACGAAGCUCGCAGAGAUAUCAAGACAAAAAUCUUCAUAUAAUCUAAGUGCUAUAGUCCAGUUCUACACAAUGUUGCUGCUUGAAGGGAAAAGAACUGGUUCUUUUUUCACAUGGCCAAAUCAGAAGUGGGUCCGAGCAUGAUCUUCAGAUCUGAAAAAGAUAUGAAGACUUGACACCCUUGGCUGGAAGGCAGUUCACCUGCACUAAACUUCUGAAUCUCUCCCUCAUCUUUCUUAAUUAUAAGUUUUCCAAAAUUUGUUUAAUUAAGUACUUUAAUUUUUUGUAUUUGAUCUUGCUUUGAAAUUUAAGUAAAUUUAUGUAUUUAAAACCUAUAUGGAUAAAGUUAUAUGCCUUCCCUUUUCCCAGACUACAUUUUUUACAUGCAAAAUUUAGACAAGUUACACAUGGGGAAAAUCAUGAAAAUGUCCAUUCGGAUAGAAACGAACCCAGGUACUCUACUUUUAAUGGGCUGUUACAAAUUAAAGUUGAAUUUAUGUUAACAUAUUCUUUAUUGUGCAAUUUUUGCAGGAUUCUUUUUCCCUUAUUGAUCAUUCAGUUAAUAACAAUAAAAAAAUUGAAGUUUUUUUCAGCCCCUUUUUUUAUUACUUGCUAUGUCAAAUGCUCAUAUUCAAUUGCAGACAGAAUCCAAACAUCUGAUGCAAAGAAUAUAAACCAAAUUUUCAAAACAAGGUAAAAUAGGUCUUUCUUUACCUAGUUCAUCUUGUCUUGUAAAUUUAAAUGUAAGCCUUCUGUUAAUUUUAUUCAACUUUUAUGACUGUGAUUUGUAAAAUUUCUGUAUACAGUAAACUUUUGCUAUAUGUGGA
Molecule: long non-coding RNA, 1136 nt
Organism: Stegodyphus dumicola
Lineage: Eukaryota; Metazoa; Arthropoda; Arachnida; Araneae; Eresidae
Source: RefSeq, a predicted model, not a curated record